Molecule: ribosomal RNA, 485 nt
Filed under: uncultured bacterium
Lineage: Bacteria
Description: partial 16S ribosomal RNA
Rfam family: Bacterial small subunit ribosomal RNA
Source: RNAcentral
AUUGAACGCUGGCGGCAGGCUUAACACAUGCAAGUCGAGCGGGGAAGCGUAGCUUGCUACUUGACCUAGCGGCGGACGGGUGAGUAAUGCUUAGGAAUCUGCCUAUUAGUGGGGGACAACAUCUCGAAAGGGAUGCUAAUACCGCAUACGUCCUACGGGAGAAAGCAGGGGACCUUCGGGCCUUGCGCUAAUAGAUGAGCCUAAGUCGGAUUAGCUAGUUGGUGGGGUAAAGGCCUACCAAGGCGACGAUCUGUAGCGGGUCUGAGAGGAUGAUCCGCCACACUGGGACUGAGAAACGGCCCAGACCUCUACGGGAGGCAGCAGUGGGGAAUAUUGGAAAAUGGGGGGAACCCUGAUCCAGCCAUGCCGCGUGUGUGAAGAAGGCCUUUUGGUUGGAAAGCACGUUAAGCGAGGAGGAGGCUACCGAGAUUAAUACUCUUGGAUAGUGGACGUUACUCGCAGAAUAAGCACCGGCUAACUCUGUG